UGUCAACUGAUAUUUCUAUUGUGCAUGCGUUUCCCAGGUUCAUGUCUCAAGUAUAAAAAGAGAAAAUGUGCUACUCAAUCCAAAAAGUCUACUGCCCGCCAUUCCCAGUCUGUCAGACGUCGCAAAAUCACCAUGUGGCCAAGGAAGAGGAAGGGACAUCAAACAUCCCCAAGCAACUCUUCUUCUUUGGAAGCUCCCCUGGAAGACCUGGUGGAGGACCCUCUUCGUGACAGGGAGGAUGAAGUGGUUCCACCUAAUGUUGAGGGGAACUCCAGAGAAAGUGAAAACGAAGACCAGGAACAACUGAUGGGGGCACUUCCAAGUGAUCAAGAGGAUGAAGAGGUCCCAUUUAAAGCCAAGGUGAGCUUACUAGUCAUUGAUCUAAAGUUGAUUUUUUGGUCUCUUCCACUGUAAUUGAUAUCAGAUGAGGA
Molecule: long non-coding RNA, 431 nt
Filed under: Dasypus novemcinctus (nine-banded armadillo)
Lineage: Eukaryota; Metazoa; Chordata; Mammalia; Cingulata; Dasypodidae
Description: lncRNA (ENSDNOG00000050995.1)
Source: RNAcentral